UCCUCUUCUGGAUUCUGUGGCUACCAAGA
RNAcentral lists this non-coding RNA (29 nucleotides) under Mus musculus (house mouse). The record is from RNAcentral. Lineage: Eukaryota; Metazoa; Chordata; Mammalia; Rodentia; Muridae.